UGAGGUUCGGGAUCACGGUCAGAUUGAACGCUGGCGGGAUGUUUAUAUUUAUAAGUCGAAUGGCAGCACGGACUUCGGUCUGCGGGCGAGUGGCGGAACGGUGAGUAAUGCAUCGGAACGUGCCUCUAGUAGCGUGAUAAUCUACGCUUAAGCGUGAAAUAAUACCGCAUACGCCGCCCCUUCGGGAAAGCGGGGGGACCUUCGCCUCGCACUAUUAGAGCGGUUGAUAUCGCGGAUUAGCUGGGGUUGGUGGGUAACGGCCCUACUAAGGUGAUGAUCCGUGCAGCUGGUUUGGAGAGGGACGACCAGCCACAUCUGGGACUGAGACAUGGCCCAGAUCACGAGGCAGCAGGGGGAAUUUUGGACAAUGGGGGAAACCCUGAUCCAGCCAUCCGCGUAAAGGGGAUGAAGGGCUCUCGGGGUUGUAAAGCACUUGGCAGGAAAGAAACGGCACGGGAUAAUACCCCGUGCAACUGACGGUACUUGCAGAAUAAGCACCGGCUAACCACGUGCCAGCAGCCGCGGUAAUACCGUAGGUGUGCGUUAAUCGGAAUUACUGGGCGUGCUGCGGUGCAGGUGGUCUGGAAAGAAAGAUGUGGAAUCCCAGGAGCUUAACUUUGGGAACUGCAUUUUUAACUACCGAGCUAGAGCGUGUCAGGAGGGGAGGUGGAAUUCCGGGUGUAGCAGUGAAAUGCGUAGAUAUGCGGAGGAACACCGAUGGCGAAGGCAGCUCUCCGGGGAUGACACUCGAUGCCUUAUGCACGAAAGUGUGGGGAGCAAACAGGAUUAGAUACCCUGGUAGUCCACGCUUAAACGAUGUCAACUAGCUAAGUUGUGGCCUUUCUGGCCUUGGUAGCGCAGCUAACGCGUGAAGUUGACCGCCUGGGGAGUACGGUCGCAAGAUUAAAACUCAAAGGAAUUGACGGGGACCUCGCACAAGCGGUGGAUGAUGUGGAUUACCUGAUGCAACGCGAAAACCUUACCUACCCUUGACAUGUCUGGAAUCCCGAAGAGAUUUGGGAGUGCUCGCAAGAGAACCGGAACACAGGUGCUGCAUGGCUGUCGUCAGCUCGUGUCGAGAUGUUGGGUUAAGUCCUGCAACGAGCGCAACUCCUUGUCAUUAGUUGCUACGAAAGGGCACUCUAACGAGACUGCCAAGUACAAACCGGAGGAAGGUGGGAUGACGUGUCAAGUCCUCAUGGCCCUUAGGUAGGGCUUGCUUAUCGCUGGCGUACAACGGCCGGACAGAGGGUCGCCAACUCCGCGAGGAGCCAAUCCCAGAAACCCGAUCGUAACUGGACCGCAGUCUGCAACUUGACUGCGUGAAGUCGGAAUCGCUAGCAGUAAUCAGGAUCAGCAUGUCGCGGUGAAUACGUUCCCGGUCUUGUACACACCGCCUGUCACACCAAGAGUGGGUUUAACAGAAGCAGUUAGCCUAACCGUAUGAGUGGCGAUUACCACGGUAGGAUUCACGACUGGGUGAAGUCGUAACAAGGUAACCCCACAUACUCUGAUGCUUCCCA
RNAcentral lists this ribosomal RNA (1523 nucleotides) under uncultured Bordetella sp. Its description in RNAcentral is "partial 16S-23S ribosomal RNA intergenic spacer". It matches the Rfam family "Bacterial small subunit ribosomal RNA". The record is from RNAcentral. Lineage: Bacteria; Pseudomonadati; Pseudomonadota; Betaproteobacteria; Burkholderiales; Alcaligenaceae.